Molecule: ribosomal RNA, 496 nt
Filed under: uncultured bacterium
Lineage: Bacteria
Description: partial 16S ribosomal RNA
Rfam family: Bacterial small subunit ribosomal RNA
Source: RNAcentral
GAUGAACGCUGGCGGCGUGCCUAAUACAUGCAAGUCGAGCGAACAGAUAAGGAGCUUGCUCCUUUGACGUUAGCGGCGGACGGGUGAGUAACACGUGGGUAACCUACCUAUAAGACUGGGAUAACUUCGGGAAACCGGAGCUAAUACCGGAUAACAUUUGGAACCGCAUGGUUCUUAAGUGAAAGAUGGUUUUGCUAUCACUUAUAGAUGGACCCGCGCCGUAUUAGCUAGUUGGUAAGGUAACGGCUUACCAAGGCAACGAUACGUAGCCGACCUGAGAGGGUGAUCGGCCACACUGGAACUGAGACACGGUCCAGACUCCUACGGGAGGCAGCAGUAGGGAAUCUUCCGCAAUGGGCGAAAGCCUGACGGAGCAACGCCGCGUGAGUGAUGAAGGGUUUCGGCUCGUAAAACUCUGUUAUUAGGGAAGAACAAAUGUGUAAGUAACUGUGCACGUCUUGACGGUACCUAAUCAGAAAGCCACGGCUAACUACGU